Molecule: ribosomal RNA, 377 nt
Filed under: uncultured bacterium
Lineage: Bacteria
Description: bacterial SSU rRNA
Rfam family: Archaeal small subunit ribosomal RNA
Source: RNAcentral
AACCAGCACCUCAAGUGGUCAGGAUGAUUAUUGGGCCUAAAGCAUCCGUAGCUCGUUUUGUAAGUUUUCGGUUAAAUCCAUACGCUUAACGUAUGGGCUGCCGGGAAUACUGCAUAACUAGGAAGUGGGAGAGGUAGACGGUACUCGGUAGGAAGGGGUAAAAUCCUUUGAUCUAUUGAUGACCACCUGUGGCGAAGGCGGUCUACCAGAACACGUUCGACGGUGAGGGAUGAAAGCUGGGGGAGCAAACCGGAUUAGAUACCCGGGUAGUCCCAGCUGUAAACUAUGCAAACUCAGUGAUGCAUUGGCUUGUGGCCAAUGCAGUGCUGCAGGGAAGCCGUUAAGUUUGCCGCCUGGGAAGUACGUACGCAAGUAUG